Molecule: long non-coding RNA, 819 nt
Organism: Saccostrea cuccullata (small rock oyster)
Lineage: Eukaryota; Metazoa; Mollusca; Bivalvia; Ostreida; Ostreidae
Exons: 2
Source: RefSeq, a predicted model, not a curated record
AAUUUCAAAGAUAAAAUGUGACUUUAAAUGAAAAUUUUUUUUUUAAAAUCUAUAAUAAUUGUCUGUAGUGCUUAGAUUUGUUGAUCCAUUGGCAUGAUUGGCACUGGGCAGGGUUUUAGAUUAUUUUUAUAUAAGUCUUGCUGUGUUCGUAAAUUUUUUCAAGUCUCAUAUUAUAUGUCAUUGUUUUCUAUGACAGCAUGUAUAUUUAUAGACCAUUUUGUUAAAUGAAAUUUUUUUUGUCAUUUCAAACAAAUCUAAAACUAAGGGAUUCAAAGUAAGAAGUCAUCAGUACUUUGUAUUGGGAUACAUGUGUAUGUCAGAAAUGAACAUGUCUGCUUAACAAAUUUUUUUACCUACAUAUAUAUGUACACAUUUUUUGAUGACCAAGGCUGCAAUAUUGUCUGGUACAAGGAUAAUCAAACCUAUUAAAAGGAUGAAUAAAAUUCUUAUCGUGGCUACAGAUUCCAGUUUUUUUUCUCCUUACACUAUUUAUCAAGAAAUAUCAGUUUAUUAUAAAUAUAUAUAUAUAUGCAUUAUAAAACAUGCAUAGUUAAGCUAUGUAUGCUCUACCUAGAGCUGAUUUUUGUGUAAAAUGUAAAUUGCACAUUUAUAAUGACCAUUAAAAGUCUUUUUCUCUAUAAAACAUGACUGUAUGCAAAGUUACUACAUGUACUUUUUCCCACAGCUGCAAUAGGAUAUACAUAAUUAUAUGUGUACAAAUACAAAGUUCAGUGUUACUGUUUUGUAUAUUGAGUAUAAUUUUGAGCAUUACUGUAAAUCUAAUAUUGAAUGAUCAAUAAAUAAGAUAUUUACUUUUAA